Molecule: long non-coding RNA, 2337 nt
Organism: Mesocricetus auratus (golden hamster)
Lineage: Eukaryota; Metazoa; Chordata; Mammalia; Rodentia; Cricetidae
Exons: 3
Source: RefSeq, a predicted model, not a curated record
UGGGUUGUUCAAGCAGGUCUUGGACUUAACGGCCCUCCUGCCUCUGUCUCCCGCGUAGCUGGCUUGGCAGACCCGUGGCACCAGGCUGACCCGUGGCACCAGGCCGACCUCUGCUGGACUAGUUCUUGACAAUGACUCUCUACAGCAGCUGCACUGCAGCGGGGGACAUUUGCCCUUUAACGUGGGUCUUCUAGAAAUCGAAACACCAGUCCCCAAACCGAUCCCUAACGUUGGUCUUCCGAGCACAGCCCCCAGCCUGCCCAGGAGGUGCGAUCUUAGGCAAGGAGGUCUCGGGUAACCCUCAUAGCGCCCCCUGGGGGCACGUAAUGACAUUUAGUUCCAUCUACUGAAUGCCUCUCCUGGGCACUUCAUGCAUUCCGUCUUCAUGGCUCUUCCCAGUAACCCACGCGGGUAUCAUUGUCAUCAUUUUGCAGCAGAGGACACUAAGCAGGGCUGAGUGGCGUGGGCGAUGGGACCAGAGUCCUGCUUUUAGGCUCCAGCCAGUGCGACUGUUCUCUGGCUGCUUCCACGCUUGCCUGGCCUUUCUGACUUCAGCUCCGAGAGGAACUCCGAGCACUUCCUCUCCUGUUUAUGUCCAGGCCCUACAUCCAGCGAAGUCCCCUGCAGGCCUUCCAAUGGGGCCUGACUCUCAUUCAUCCAGGACCGCGGAAGGGCGAGUGUUGCUCGGGGGAGUCACGCAGAGCCUCUGAGCAAUAGACCAGUAGCUAAGGCAUAUGUCCAGCCUUAAUCGUAAGACAACUGGCCAGCAAGUGUGGACUACCUUGGUGACAGACUGGACACCCGGGAGUCAGGGAGAUCAGAGCUGACAUCAGAGAGUCCCCGGGCAAAGCGGAGGGGACGGUUUUCUGUAUGGAGACCCCGUGGAUUAAAGCAGCAGGGCAGAUAUUCACUGGAGCAGUGGAGAAGCGCAGGCGCACAGCGAAUGAGGAGCCCUGGGAGGCAACUGGCCCCACGGAGGUGCACGGCGGUCAACAGCCGCGCUGCGCUCUUUGCUACGCUGAAGAAACAGUGGGCUGGGCUUAGAGCCUUACGCUGAUGGGCCUUGAGCUUCGUGGCUGCCACACUUCCUGUAGAACAGGUCCCUGGCCCAGACCCAACCGCAGAGUUGGCAGUCGGCUCUAGGAGUAGGGUCUGCCUGGGCCGGCAGGACUCUGCUGAGGAAAUGGGUGUUGGAUGGCACUCUCCAAGUUUGGUGUAAUGGUUAUCCCCGUUACACCUCGGUGACAAGCUGGGUCGCUCCAGACGGCUCCCAGGCACUGAGCGUUGGAGGGGAGACUGAACGCCCUGCAACCCUACAGCUGUAAGCAUUGGUUGGUGCUGGGACUUGGCCCUGACCUGUGAUGCUAUACUGCGUUUGCUGCUCUCUGAAUUCCCGCCCUCACUCCACACUGGGGCCGGGUGGGAGGCUGGUAGGAAGGGGAACAGUCUACGUGGAAGGGGCACUUGCCCAGGGUCUUUUCUCCUUAGCUCUGAAGGUCUCCUUGCCCAGACCUGGCUGCUACGACUACAGAGUUUGCCAGUCUACAGAGAAGAUACAGGGGCUGCUGCCGAGCAAGGCCAAGGAACAGAGAUUCUUGUCAAGUUCUUAGUAGCUAACACCCAUGUUGUCAGACCCGUGGGGCGAGGAGCCCAGCCAUGAAAUCAGAUCGCCACCAAGUACUCAGGCCUGCGAUCCCAGAAUCUGACUGAGGCAGGAGGAUCACGACAAGUUCAAAGCCAGCCAGACUAGGUUACAGAGUGAGACUGUCUGAAACCCCUCCGCUCUCAGAGCAGAUCUAGAUCCCUGCCUUCCUUAAGUCCAUCAUGUUACUGAAUUCCAAGCAAUGGGAAACAGAUGAUAAUUCAUUGGAAAAAGCAAAACCAGGAAUCAUGAAUCCUCACAGAUAUGCCAGAGAAUAAAAUGGUUAUUGAACCAGAUAUUCCAUUGUUUCAAAGCACUUCUCUAGAAGCACCCAUUGAUGACAGGGAAAACAGUUUCACCUCGGCAGGUGGCAGCUUCAGUACUCAAAUGAGUGUCCUCUCAGCAGUGAAACCAAUGACCUAAUGGGGGAGACUUCAGCACGAAAUGUGUGAUGCCCUUACCAAAGCACCUACAAGCUCAAUGCGACAGUAAGAAAACACCAGGAGAACCCAGAGCGAGGGCUAUUCCACAGAAUGACUGGUCCUUAGUAUUCAAAAGUAUCCAAAGUAAACGACACAGACAGAAAGCCACAGCCACCAAAUGUUUGUCCGUUCUGAUCGGGUCUCUCACUCUAGAGGACAUCAGCAGGACAGCUGGGGACAGCAGGAUUAGAAUUCCCUAGGAGACUGCUCUUC